AGAGCACCUAUUAUGGGAUACACGUUUUUAAACAUCCUUUUGUGUGUAAGUGUGCAUUAGUACAUGCUAACGAUAUUCAAAAAGUACAUACCUCAAAGAAAACGAUGACGCGAGUUAUCGUCUCUAACGUUCGAGGACUACAAAAAACACUCGGAUUGUAGGCAACAGUUUACUUCCUGGGAUUAGUGACGUAGAUAAGACCAACAUUAUCAUAGUUCAGCCCUCUCUGCUUUGCUUGGGUACGCCCUCAAAGACGAGGGUGGGGUGGGGAGCGCCGAGUCAGAAGAGAGCUAAAAUGGCGGAGGUUGGGAGUCCCUGCUUUGACUCUGUUUGCAAACUCUUGUUUCAUUGUUUAAGCGAUUAAAUCUCUCGAGUAGACGCUGUCUCUUUAGAUGCGAGGGCAAAAUAGCACUUUAUGGACUUCCACAGAGGACAUCAUGUUUAAUACGGUUCCGGAAAAAUCCAGUCAGAAGUUGUUCACGGAGUUUUCACAAUAACUGCUUCUCAUGAACCGAAGCUGGAUUUGCACGACGUCUCCUCUUGAAAGUUGGAUUACUGUGCACUUCUGGAUCACAGACUAUUCCCAGCUGGACACAUCCUUCUACACUGUAUGCAAACAUGCAACAUCAUUACACACAGUACAAGGAGUCAGACUGGCAUAUGAGGAGCAAAGGAACCCAGGCAGUAGCAUCGUUUCACAAUGUUUCCAUCAUCAUCAUCAGUGGAUGCCUUUGCCGUCCGUAGCCUGAGAUUUCAGAUUUGCAGCAAAAAAAAAAUUUUUUCUCAUUUAUUGGAAUGCUGUGCAGGUAUUUGUACCUUGCAGCCAUCCAUUACAAUGUCACCAAGCCGUAACAAAAGCAGGAGAGGGAAAGUACAAGGCUAUGUUCCCAAAACACAAAUGACAUACCUUAUGUGGAGGAUGUGAUCAGGCUUGUGUUUGAUGAGGUAUUUGAAGAUAAGCUGAAGGAAACCCCGAUUCCAAUGGACCUGGCAUCACAGUUUGAGAGACCUUCAAAGGAGGACGUGAUUGCAUGCCAUCUUCAGUGCAGGGGUCGUCGAAAGCCAAAAUUGUGACCGAUCUGAUCAGGAAGCUCCAAGCGUAUCUGGAGAACAACACACGACAGGAUGAUAACCUUAUAGUGUUGUCUUAGAUAGCACCAGCUGACAAAGCUUUGAUAUGCCAUUUAUCUGAAUAGAUAGCUGUAAGAAAUGAAUUGAACAAUUUUUGAAACAAGAGCACAAUAUGGUUACUAAAGUAUGUUUAUUUGUAUAUUGUUUAACAUUUAAAUAUAUAUUUGUAAUAAAUAAAAAAAACUUUUGACUGACUAUUA
This is a long non-coding RNA of Paramisgurnus dabryanus, 1331 nucleotides long. RefSeq lists it as uncharacterized. Lineage: Eukaryota; Metazoa; Chordata; Actinopteri; Cypriniformes; Cobitidae. The record is from RefSeq and is a predicted model, not a curated record.